Molecule: ribosomal RNA, 429 nt
Filed under: Gemmatimonadota bacterium
Lineage: Bacteria; Pseudomonadati; Gemmatimonadota
Description: Gemmatimonadetes bacterium partial 16S ribosomal RNA
Rfam family: Bacterial small subunit ribosomal RNA
Source: RNAcentral
UAGGGAAUCUUCGGCAAUGGACGAAAGUCUGACCGAGCAACGCCGCGUGAGGGAAGAAGGUUUUCGGAUCGUAAAACUCUGUUGUUAGAGAAGAACAAGGACGUUAGUAACUGAACGUCCCCUGACGGUAUCUAACCAGAAAGCCACGGCUAACUACGUGCCAGCAGCCGCGGUAAUACGUAGGUGGCAAGCGUUGUCCGGAUUUAUUGGGCGUAAAGCGAGCGCAGGCGGUUUCUUAAGUCUGAUGUAAAAGCCCCCGGCUCAACCGGGGAGGGUCAUUGGAAACUGGGAGACUGGAGUGCAGAAGAGGAGAGUGGAAUUCCAUGUGUAGCGGUGAAAUGCGUGGAUAUAUGGAGGAACACCGGUGGCGAAGGCGGCUCUCUGGUCUGUAACUGACGCUGAGGCUCGAAAGCGGGGGGAGCAAACAGG